ACUUAAAUAGCUUAUAUUUAGAGUAUAAUAUUGAAGAUAUUAUGGAAAUUAUUUUUAAUUUUUAAGUA
This 68-nucleotide transfer RNA is filed under the name Harpalus sp. RNAcentral describes it as "tRNA-Phe". The record is from RNAcentral. Lineage: Eukaryota; Metazoa; Arthropoda; Insecta; Coleoptera; Carabidae.